This 434-nucleotide ribosomal RNA is filed under the name uncultured bacterium. RNAcentral's name for it is "partial 16S ribosomal RNA". It matches the Rfam family "Bacterial small subunit ribosomal RNA", at positions 29 to 507 of the family's 1533-position model. The record is from RNAcentral.
AGCGAACGCUGGCGGCAGGCCUAACACAUGCAAGUCGAACGAACCCACAGGGGUUAGUGGCGGACGCGUGAGUCGCACGUGGGAAGGUGCCUUUAGGCACGGAAUAACACAGGGAAACUUGUGCUAAUACCGAAUGAGUCCUUCGGGUGCAGGAUUUAUCGUCCGUAGAGCGGCACGCGUCCGCUUAGCUAGUUGGGUGUGGUAAAGGCUCACCAAGGCGACGUUCAGUAGCUUGUCUGGGAGGAUGAUCAGCCACAUCGGGACUGAGACACAGCCCAGACUCCUGCGGGAUGCAGCAGUGGGUGAUCUUGCGCAAUCGGCGAGGUGCUGACGCAGCCAUGCCGGGUGAAUGAUGAAGUUCUUAGGAUUGUAAAGUUCUUUCACCGGGGACGGUAAUGACGGUACCCGGAGAAGAAGCCCCGGCUAACUUCGUG